CCAGACUCCUACGGGAGGCAGCAGUGGGGAAUAUUGCACAAUGGGGGAAACCCUGAUGCAGCGACGCCGCGUGAGUGAAGAAGUAUUUCGGUAUGUAAAGCUCUAUCAGCAGGGAAGAAAAUGACGGUACCUGACCAAGAAGCCCCGGCUAACUACGUGCCAGCAGCCGCGGUAAUACGUAGGGGGCAAGCGUUAUCCGGAUUUACUGGGUGUAAAGGGAGCGUAGACGGCUGUGCAAGUCAGAAGUGAAAGCCCGGGGCUCAACCCCGGGACUGCUUUUGAAACUGCGUGGCUGGAGUGCAGGAGAGGUAAGCGGAAUUCCUGGUGUAGCGGUGAAAUGCGUAGAUAUCAGGAGGAACACCGGCGGCGAAGGCGGCCUGCUGGACCGUGACUGACGUUGAGGCUCGAGAGCGUGGGGAGCAAACAGGAUUAGAUACCCGAGUA
This 444-nucleotide ribosomal RNA is filed under the name uncultured bacterium. Its description in RNAcentral is "bacterial SSU rRNA". It matches the Rfam family "Bacterial small subunit ribosomal RNA", at positions 331 to 792 of the family's 1533-position model. The record is from RNAcentral.